This 313-nucleotide long non-coding RNA is filed under the name Fukomys damarensis (Damara mole-rat). RNAcentral's name for it is "lncRNA (ENSFDAG00000026204.1)". Lineage: Eukaryota; Metazoa; Chordata; Mammalia; Rodentia; Bathyergidae. The record is from RNAcentral.
UUUCAGAGGUAUCCUGAUGUCAAAAUGAGGCAUAUGGUGUAUUCAGAUGGAUGCCUGUAGACAGCAAGUAACUGUGGUCUUGGUUCCAAGGCAUCAGUAAGGUUCUGCCACUUCAAUGUGCAUAGAGGAUAAGGAUGGCAAGGAGACUAUGGCCAGAACCUUAGAGAACUCUCAGGUAGAGUCAGGGGCUGGUACCUCAUUGGGCAUCACGUGGACCUCUGUAUCUAGUAGUGCAGCGUUCAGUGCCUUCUUAGUAUCAAGAGGAAGCACAAGGUCUUGUGAACCUAUGCCAGCGACAUUGUGCAUUUCAUAA